This 253-nucleotide ribosomal RNA is filed under the name uncultured bacterium. RNAcentral's name for it is "partial 16S ribosomal RNA". It matches the Rfam family "Bacterial small subunit ribosomal RNA", at positions 524 to 776 of the family's 1533-position model. The record is from RNAcentral.
UACGAAGGGGGCUAGCGUUGUUCGGAUUUACUGGGCGUAAAGCGCACGUAGGCGGAUCGUUAAGUCGGGGGUGAAAUCCUGGAGCUCAACUCCAGAACUGCCUUCGAUACUGGCGAUCUUGAGUCCGGAAGAGGUGAGUGGAACUCCUAGUGUAGAGGUGGAAUUCGUAGAUAUUAGGAAGAACACCAGUGGCGAAGGCGGCUCACUGGUCCGGUACUGACGCUGAGGUGCGAAAGCUAGGGUAGCAAACAGG